GACGAACGCUGGCGGCGUGCCUAAUACAUGCAAGUAGAACGCAGUUGCGAACGGGGGAGUAACGCGUCGGUAACUGCCCCAUAGCGGGGGAUAAAUAUUGGAAACGAUAGCUAAUACCGCAUACUGUGAGACGGACCUGCGUUGUAUUAGCUAGUUGGUGCGGUAAAGGCUCACAAAGGCGACGAGACAUAGCCGACCUGAGAGGGUGAUCGGCCACACUGAGAAUGAGAGACGGCGCAGACUCCUACGGGAGGAAGCAGUAGGGAAGCUGCGGCAAUGGGCUGAAGUCUGACCGAGCAAAGCCGCGUGAGUGAAGAAGGUUUUCGGAUCGUAAAGCUCUGUUGUUAGAGAAGCGGUAUCUGACCAGAAAGCCACGGCUAACUACGUGCCAGCCGCCGCGGUAAUAC
Molecule: ribosomal RNA, 407 nt
Filed under: uncultured bacterium
Lineage: Bacteria
Description: partial 16S ribosomal RNA
Rfam family: Bacterial small subunit ribosomal RNA
Source: RNAcentral